UGAGGAAUAUUGGUCAAUGGACGGAAGUCUGAACCAGCCAAGUAGCGUGCAGGAUGACGGCCCUAUGGGUUGUAAACUGCUUUUGUAUGGGGAUAAAGUCAAUCACGUGUGAUUGUUUGCAGGUACCAUACGAAUAAGGACCGGCUAAUUCCGUGCCAGCAGCCGCGGUAAUACGGAAGGUCCGGGCGUUAUCCGGAUUUAUUGGGUUUAAAGGGAGCGUAGGCUGGAGAUUAAGUGUGUUGUGAAAUGUAGACGCUCAACGUCUGACUUGCAGCGCAUACUGGUUUCCUUGAGUACGCACAACGUUGGCGGAAUUUUUCGUGUAGUAGCUAAAUGUGNNGAUAUGACGAAGAACUCCGAUUGCGAAGGCAGCUGACGGGAGCGCAACUGACGCUGAAGCUCGAAGGUGCGGGUAUCGAACAGGAUUAGAUACCCUGGUAGUCCGCACAGUAAACGAUGGAUGCCCGCUGUUGGUACGUGGUAUCAGCGGCUAAGCGAAAGCAUUAAGCAUCCCACCUGGGGAGUACGCCGGCAACGGUG
RNAcentral lists this ribosomal RNA (540 nucleotides) under uncultured bacterium. Its description in RNAcentral is "bacterial SSU rRNA". It matches the Rfam family "Bacterial small subunit ribosomal RNA", at positions 355 to 896 of the family's 1533-position model. The record is from RNAcentral.